Long non-coding RNA from Cynoglossus semilaevis (tongue sole), 1195 nucleotides. RefSeq lists it as uncharacterized. Lineage: Eukaryota; Metazoa; Chordata; Actinopteri; Pleuronectiformes; Cynoglossidae. The transcript is spliced from 3 exons. The record is from RefSeq and is a predicted model, not a curated record.
GAAAAAGACAAGAAAAUACACCUUUUACCAUGGUGGUGAAAUUAUUAUAUUUGUAUUGUUUGAAAGUAGUAAAUAACAUUUGGAUCUAAAAUAUUUAAUCACAAAAGACAGAGCACAAUUAAGAGUUUCAACUAGAUAUUUUGCCUUUCCUGUUACUAUUUAAUUACUUAUUUUAUUCCUUUUUUUUUUUUGCUAAUUGUAAGACUCAUUUUUAUUCAACUUUGGCCAAAUAUUGCUGUAUUUAGUUUUAAGUGAGCUCUGUGUUGUCUUUUAUUUUGGAAAGGGUUGAUUGCACUUUAAGGCGGAAGUUCCCUUGUACGGAAAUGGCUCUUAUAGCAAAACAGAGACUUGACGAAGGACGAAGUUAAACGUAAUUCAGCGUUGUGCCUCAGAUACUGAGAAGAAAAACGAAAAAAAACUACAAUUAAACUAAAGAAAGAACACAUUGCGAAGGGUGAAACGACAUUAAAUGUUCGACCAUGACGCUACAUUAUGUUGACCGACUGUCCAGCCUCGUUAAUGAACGGCUCCAGGUGAACGCAACAAACAGGUGUUGUCCUCCAAAAGUUUCCUGUCACCCCGACAGCUGCAGUUGACCCUUCCCUCGGAGGUCAGCAGGCACAGAUCCUGACAUCCUCCAUUGUUAACGCGGCAGAGGGAGAACUCACCUACGAAGAGAAACCCCAGGGCAGUCGAGAGGCAGCCAAGAUGGAGGAACACAAAGUUCUGUAGCAGCAGAUAGACAACAGCUGCUGCUCUAAACACAAAGUCCUUCUUUAGUGGGGAGUUUUUUUUUUUUAAACCCAACUGUGUGUCAGAUGUCCUCAGCUCAUAAUAAUUAUCAAAUGUACCCUAACAGUGUACUGCAUUCCAUCUUUCUGCACUGUAGAUGAUCUCACUGUUAUCACAAUUCUGUCCCGAGGAUUGGUGAGAUUCACCACCAGGUGGGACACUUAACACUCCACUUACAGUGAAAUGCCAGGAGCAUGAAUCAACAUUUGUUCAGUCCAUGCUAUAAGAAUUUAAAUGAGGCAGAGCUGCUGGAAAGUCACGCAGAGGCAGCAACUCCCUUUUGUCCCUCGCGGUCAUAAAUCAAUGCCCUUAAAAAUCAAUAGAAGGCUUCGUCAAAUCCAUUCUCCUUUAUUUCCUAUUUUCACUGUACUGUUAAUGAACAAUAAAUCUUUGGCCCGGCGCA